AUUGAACGCUGGCGGCAUGCUUUACUCAUGCAAGUCGAACGGUAACAGGCCUUCGGGUGCUGACGAGUGGCGAACGGGUGAGUAAUGCAUCGGAACGUACCCAGAGGUGGGGGAUAACGCAGCGAAAGCUGUGCUAAUACCGCAUGUGAUCUGAGGAUGAAAGCGGGGGACCGAGCAGCAAUGUUUGGCCUCGCGCCUUUGGAGCGGCCGAUGUCGGAUUAGCUAGUUGGUGGGGUAAAGGCCUACCAAGGCGACGAUCCGUAGCUUGUCUGACAGGACGAUCAGCCCCACUGGGACUGAGACACGGCCCAGACUCCUACGGGAGGCAGCAGUGGGGAAUUUUGGACUAUGGGCGCAAGCCUGAUCCAGCAAUGCCGCGUGAGGGAAGAAGGCCUUCGGGUUGUAAACCGCUUUUGGCAGGAACGAAACGGUGUCCGCUAAUACCGGGCGCUAAUGACGGUACCUGCAGAAUAAGCACCGGCUAACUACGUG
RNAcentral lists this ribosomal RNA (492 nucleotides) under uncultured bacterium. RNAcentral describes it as "partial 16S ribosomal RNA". It matches the Rfam family "Bacterial small subunit ribosomal RNA", at positions 30 to 507 of the family's 1533-position model. The record is from RNAcentral.